UUCUUGAGCACUUCUUUCUCUUUCCAUAAUGGAGAAUUAUCCAACGAUAUUUCAGUCUUCAUCUUCAACCGCAUCUGGUUCUCAUAUGUCUAUAUUAAACAUGGCAAAUUCUCAUGCAGCAGCUGAAUUUCAAGAUCAAAAGUUAAAUGGAUACUUGGGGCAGAUGCCACCUCGUACUGAAAUUCCUAGUUUAGACAUGACUGAUAUUGUUGCUCGGAGGAAUAACCUUGUAGAUGCUGGAACCGCAGGCAAGAAAAUUAAGGUUGAGAAGAAAUCUCGAAAACCUAGGUAUGCUUUUCAGACAAGAAGUCAGGUUGAUAUACUGGAUGAUGGGUACAGAUGGAGAAAAUAUGGUCAGAAAGCUGUGAAAAACAACAGAUUUCCAAGGUCUGUUGCUUCUUCUUAUUCCCACUUAAUUUCAGUUUCUUAUAUAACUUUUAAGUGAAUAAUCAGUCUGCUUUGCAGUAAAUAUGCACAUCUUGUGUGUGUUUACGUUUGGUUGAAUGCUAGACUUUGUUUUUGGAAAAUUAAUGUUUAAACCUUGUUUCAGUGUUUGGUUGCUAUGGAUCUUUCUUGACUUACAUCGAUGAAUAGACAGACUUACAAUAUAGUGAAAUUUCUAUAGUUCGAUUUCUUGGUAAGAAUAAGAAAAAACAACUUCAUAGUACCUCCAAGAAUCGAAUCACUUCGAGUAUAGAAAUGAGAUGUGUUUCUCAUCCAAAAAGAUUCAUUUCUUAUCAAGUCUUUGAUGUGCACAUUUUUGGACUAAUAUUCUUUUUUCAUGUUUAACCAAUUUGUCUACAAGUUAAGAUGUUAGAGACAUUGACAUAUACAUGAUGUGAUUAAUUAGGCAAACGUUUAUCUCAAGAACUGACCAGGAAGAAAAGUCCCCGGCCCCUCAAAUUCUACAUAAGGCCUAACUUCACUACGAGCUAAAGCCUAUCCAAAAUUAUGAAUUUUUUUAUUUUUGACAUAAAAGGGUACUUAUAUUGUCAUAAACACCAAUAAGAGAAUUCUGAAACAGAUCCCUUAGUUAUGAGCAUGCAAUCUAUAUUAGUCUGAAAUGUCCCUUUCGUUUUAUUCACGGUAUGAGUAAAAGACUGUUAUUUGGUGACUGCAGAUCUUAACUUGUUUUUAAGAUAGACCAUGAAAUAAAAUCUAAAGCUUAUCCAUCUUCCUAAGGUGGGAGAUCCCUACACAACACAACUUACUAGGUCUUCUUUAUCCAUCUUGUGUACGAACUUUGAUUAAGUAUCUUCAUUCCAAUCCCUAAAUGAGACCUUAAGAGAAUUCGUAGAAGCACUGCCUGAAAUUUGAAUACCCUGCAAUUUCGAUCCUAAAGUUUUAUUCUCGAUAAAUAUGAGUUGACAAUAGUUAGUUAAUUACAACAUCGAUCUACUAGACAUCAGAGGACAUCUCAACGAAAAUUAUAAUAAGAUGUGACGAGGUACUACUCUAGUUGCAGUCAUCCUCCUUCAUUGGGAAGAGCUAUAUAUACUAAGGCCCUGUUUGAUUGCAACAUUUUCCAUGGAAAAUGUCAUGUCCAAGGAAAAUAAUUUUCACUUUGACUAUUUGAUUCGCAUGUGGAAAUGGAAUUCGAAUUCUUAUGUACAACCAUUUAAAGCACGUUUUUGGCCAAUUCUAUGGAAAACGAAUUCUUAUGGGUAUGGUGGUUUUUUGUUUUCCAACUUAGGUGGAAUUACUUUUCCUUUUCCUCUUUCGCAAUCAAACGGGGCCUAACUUCCAUAGUUAAUUAGGCCACAAUUUUUGGUUAUUUAUGCUGGCAUUUAGCGUAAAUUUUAAAUAUGUAUGUUGUAUGUAUUAAUUCCCUCCUAAGAUUAUCUUUGCCAAAUGAUCCUGGAGGAAAUUUGGUCAUGGACUAAAUGAAACUAAGGUAUAACAAUUUUCAGUUUAUUGCUUAGUAAUAUACUAAUAACUUGACGUUAAUUCGUAAUUUUGUUUCUUGAAUCUUUAAAUUUGUUGUAUUAAUCAACACUAACGAAUUUCUUGUUCUCUUUUGUUUCUGCAGAAGCUAUUAUCGUUGCACGCAUCAAGGGUGCAAUGUUAAGAAGCAAGUUCAAAGGCUAUCUAAAGACGAAGAAGUAGUAGUAACAACAUAUGAAGGAAUGCACUCCCAUCCAAUCCAGAAAUCCAUGGAAAACUUUGAGCAUAUUCUCAGUCAAAUGCAAAUUUACACUUCCUCUUAAGUCCAAAUCAUAUUCCACAGUCAUAUUUAGAAUUAAAAGAACAUUUUGUAUACCAGAUAUAUAUUUGAAUAAUCUGUACGAUCCCCUAAAACGUUAAAGU
This 2307-nucleotide long non-coding RNA is filed under the name Olea europaea subsp. europaea. The record is from RNAcentral. Lineage: Eukaryota; Viridiplantae; Streptophyta; Magnoliopsida; Lamiales; Oleaceae.